Molecule: ribosomal RNA, 493 nt
Filed under: uncultured bacterium
Lineage: Bacteria
Description: partial 16S ribosomal RNA
Rfam family: Bacterial small subunit ribosomal RNA
Source: RNAcentral
AUUGAACGCUGGCGGCAUGCCUUACACAUGCAAGUCGAACGGUAACAGGUAAAGCUGACGAGUGGCGAACGGGUGAGUAAUAUAUCGGAACGUGCCCAGUCGUGGGGGAUAACGUAGCGAAAGCUACGCUAAUACCGCAUACGAUCUACGGAUGAAAGCGGGGGAUCGCAAGACCUCGCGCGAUUGGAGCGGCCGAUAUCAGAUUAGCUAGUUGGUGGGGUAAAAGCUCACCAAGGCGACGAUCUGUAGCUGGUCUGAGAGGACGACCAGCCACACUGGAACUGAGACACGGUCCAGACUCCUACGGGAGGCAGCAGUGGGGAAUUUUGGACAAUGGGCGCAAGCCUGAUCCAGCAAUGCCGCGUGCAGGAUGAAGGCCUUCGGGUUGUAAACUGCUUUUGUACGGAACGAAACGGCGAGCUCUAAUACAGUUUGCUAAUGACGGUACCGUAAGAAUAAGCACCGGCUAACUACGUGCCAGCAGCCGCGGUAA